GACGAACGCUGGCGGCGUGCUUAACACAUGCAAGUCGAGCGAUGAAGUUCCUUCGGGAAUGGAUUAGCGGCGGACGGGUGAGUAACACGUGGGUAACCUGCCUCAUAGAGGGGAAUAGCCUUCCGAAAGGAAGAUUAAUACCGCAUAAGAUUGUAGUAUCGCAUGAUAUAGCAAUUAAAGGAGCAAUCCGCUAUGAGAUGGACCCGCGUCGCAUUAGCUAGUUGGUGAGGUGACGGCUCACCAAGGCGACGAUGCGUAGCCGACCUGAGAGGGUGAUCGGCCACAUUGGGACUGAGACACGGCCCAGACUCCUACGGGAGGCAGCAGUGGGGAAUAUUGCACAAUGGGGGAAACCCUGAUGCAGCAACGCCGCGUGAGUGAUGACGGUCUUUGGAUUGUAAAACUCUGUCUUCAGGGACGAUAAUGACGGUACCUGAGGAGGAAGCCACGGCUAACUACGUGCCAGCAGCCGCGGUAA
Molecule: ribosomal RNA, 478 nt
Filed under: uncultured bacterium
Lineage: Bacteria
Description: partial 16S ribosomal RNA
Rfam family: Bacterial small subunit ribosomal RNA
Source: RNAcentral